Molecule: ribosomal RNA, 460 nt
Filed under: uncultured bacterium
Lineage: Bacteria
Description: bacterial SSU rRNA
Rfam family: Bacterial small subunit ribosomal RNA
Source: RNAcentral
ACAAGCGGUGGAGUAUGUGGUUUAAUUCGACGCAACGCGAAGAACCUUACCAGGUCUUGACAUCUCCUGCCAGUCUACGAAAGUAGAUGUUUAUCUUCGGAUAACAGGAAGACAGGUGGUGCAUGGUUGUCGUCAGCUCGUGUCGUGAGAUGUUGGGUUAAGUCCCGCAACGAGCGCAACCCCUGUGGUUAGUUGCCAGCAAGUAGCGUUGGGCACUCUAGCCAGACUGCCGGUGAUAAAUCGGAGGAAGGUGGGGACGACGUCAAAUCAUCAUGCCCUUUAUGUCCUGGGCUACACACGUACUACAAUGGCCGUUACAACGGGAAGCGAAGGAGCAAUCCGGAGCAAAUCCCUUAAAGGCGGUCCCAGUUCAGAUUGUGGGCUGAAACUCGCCCACAUGAAGGCGGAAUUGCUAGUAAUUGCAGAUCAGCAUGCUGCAGUGAAUACGUUCCCGGGCCUU